RNAcentral lists this ribosomal RNA (420 nucleotides) under bacterium. RNAcentral describes it as "partial 16S ribosomal RNA". It matches the Rfam family "Bacterial small subunit ribosomal RNA", at positions 355 to 776 of the family's 1533-position model. The record is from RNAcentral.
UGGGGGAUAUUGCACAAUGGGCGAAAGCCUGAUGCAGCGACGCCGCGUGGGGGAUGAAGGCUUUCGGGUUGUAAACCUCUUUCGCUAUCGAACAAGGCCCGCUUAGGGUGGGUUGAGGGUAGGUGGAGAAGAAGCGCCGGCUAACUACGUGCCAGCAGCCGCGGUAAUACGUAGGGCGCGAGCGUUGUCCGGAAUUAUUGGGCGUAAAGGGCUUGUAGGCGGCUUGUUGCGCCUGCUGUGAAAACGCGGGGCUUAACUUCGCGCGUGGAGUGGGUACGGGCAGGCUUGAGUGUGGUAGGGGUGACUGGAAUUCCAGGUGUAGCGGUGGAAUGCGCAGAUAUCUGGAGGGACACCGAUGGCGAAGGCAGGUCACUGGGCCAUUACUGACGCUGAGGAGCGAAAGCAUGGGUAGCGAACAGG